Molecule: transfer RNA, 29 nt
Filed under: Corallorhiza wisteriana
Lineage: Eukaryota; Viridiplantae; Streptophyta; Magnoliopsida; Asparagales; Orchidaceae
Description: partial tRNA-Phe
Source: RNAcentral
GUGGGGAUAGGUGAGUGGUAGAGGAGAGG